UACGGAGGGUGCAAGCGUUAUCCGGAUUCCCUGGGUUUAAAGGGUGCGUAGGUGGGCAAGUAAGUCAGUGGUGAAAUCUCCGGGCUUAACCCGGAAACUGCCAUUGAUACUAUUUGUCUUGAAUACUGUGGAGGUCAGCGGAAUAUGUCAUGUAGCGGUGAAAUGCUUAGAUAUGACAUAGAACACCAAUUGCGAAGGCAGCUGGCUACACAAAUAUUGACACUGAGGCACGAAAGCGUGGGGAUCAAACAGG
Molecule: ribosomal RNA, 253 nt
Filed under: uncultured bacterium
Lineage: Bacteria
Description: partial 16S ribosomal RNA
Rfam family: Bacterial small subunit ribosomal RNA
Source: RNAcentral